CGAACGCCGCGUGAACGAUGAAGGCCUUCGGGUCGUAAAGUUCUGUUGUUAGGGAAGAAUAAGUACCGGAGUAACUGCCGGUACCUUGACGGUACCUAACCAGAAAGCCACGGCUAGCUACGUGCCAGCAGCCGCGGUAAUACGUAGGUGGCAAGCGUUGUCCGGAAUUAUUGGGCGUAAAGCGCGCGCAGGCGGUCCUUUAAGUCUGAUGUGAAAGCCCACGGCUCAACCGUGGAGGGUCAUUGGAAACUGGGGGACUUGAGUGCAGAAGAGGAGAGUGGAAUUCCACGUGUAGCGGUGAAAUGCGUAGAGAUGUGGAGGAACACCAGUGGCGAAGGCGACUCUCUGGUCUGUAACUGACGCUGAGGCGCGAAAGCGUGGGGAGCAAACAGGAUUAGAUACCCUGGUAGUCCACGCCGUAAACGAUGAGUGCUAAGUGUUAGAGGGUUUCCGCCCUUUAGUGCUGCAGCUAACGCAUUAAGCACUCCGCCUGGGGAGUACGGCCGCAAGGCUG
This 514-nucleotide ribosomal RNA is filed under the name uncultured Bacillota bacterium. RNAcentral describes it as "bacterial SSU rRNA". It matches the Rfam family "Bacterial small subunit ribosomal RNA", at positions 391 to 896 of the family's 1533-position model. The record is from RNAcentral. Lineage: Bacteria; Bacillati; Bacillota.